GUGCCAAAAAAAUCUGCCUCCCGAUCCCAUCUCGAUCUCUAAGCUCCAGCGCGCCGCCACCUCCUGCCGACCGCCACCCUCCCCGGCACCGCGCGACGCCACGAACGCCGUGGCCGUUGGCGGCUCCCCCCGCCCCCGUCGGCUGCCCCGGUCGUUCCUCGGCGCCGCUCACAGCCUCCCCGCGCAACGCGCCCGCACCUGCGCCCGGGGUGGUCCAGAUCAGCGAGGAGCACCUCGUGCGGUGCGCGGCAGCGGGGAGGCUCCCCGAUCCAAAAAUCCAUCCACCCAGUCCUCUCCUCGAUUUCCAAAUCGAGCCUACCGGCAGCCUCCGUGCGCAGCUGUGCCCCCGCGCCUCUGCCUCACCGAGUGCCCGACCCGGCCGUCGUUCAUCGCUAGCACCCGCGGAUCCGGCCGCCCCUCACCUUCCCCAUGGGCUGCACCUCCCAGCGCCACCGCCCCUGCCAAGCUCCGCCGCUGGAGGAUGAAAUUCUGUCAAUGUCCACUGUCUUCAAGUAAUUGAUUCAUGUAAUACAUUUUUUAGUGUCCAAGGAAAAUUCUUGAGAUGACGGAAAUGAAUUGUACUCUCAAGAAAAGGUGGAAUACGAAUUGGAUGGAAAGCUAGAGCUACAACAGCCAUGAGAAAUAAGAAGAAAGUGGACGAUGCAUUGCGUGGCACUCAAAAAAAUUCAAUUCAGGUUUGUACUACACAUAUUCCUUUACCCGAGCAAUAUUUUAUACUGCAUAGAUUCUGUUUUAAAAAUCCUAUUUUUGUUUCUCCUUUUUUGGCUGGAAAUUGGUUUUGUUUCUUUUAGAUGUGGUGCAACAUAUCUGAAGCUAUCUUGUCGAGUAUAAGAGUUGUUUGCUUUGUGAUACUUAAGUUUGAGUGUAUCGGCAUAUGUUUAUUACUCGUUAAAAGCUGACUUUGCCAGGCGGAUAUACCACUAAAGAUAUCUACAGGAAAUAGCAGUGCAAAAUAUACCACUAAAGAUAUCUACAGGAAAUUUUCUACAAAAUUGCAGUCAAACACUACCCCUGCCAAUACGUAAGAUUUGCAGCGUCAUCAACUUUGCCAGGCGGAUUGAUAGUUGGAUUUUGUUGGAAGGGGAGGAAAAUAAUCUGCUAAUGCACUGUGAGAAAGGUGGAUCGAUGGUGUUGGCAUUUAUGCUUGCAGGUCUUCUUCUGUACCAGAAACAUUAGACAUUGUGUACAAGCGAGCACCAAAGGAGUUUCUUCAGAUGUGAAAUAUUCAGUAUCUACAAUAAAUGAUUUUUUUUCAUCAUGGCGCUCUCCGGCAAGGAGCUCCGGCAGGCAGCGCCCGGCGAACAAUGGCCUGGUGGAGGUUGCUAGGGAGGACACACUCGAGUGUGUCGAGUGACGGUGUAAACAUCCGGUGCUUGUUGGAGCUUGGUCAAGCUCAGGCCCAAGGUCAAACUACGGGAAAACUAAUAUUCAGGAUCUGAAGUUACAAUCUUUGGUUGGAGUUUGGUCAAGCUCAGGCCCAAGGUCAAACUACCGGAAAACUAAUAUUCAGGAUCUGAAGUUACAGUCUCAUCUGGUCGGCCAAUGUGGUGGCCUUCAUCUUCUGCGAUGUCUUCCGCUUCCACCAGAAUUCUGCUCGUUUACAAGUAAAAUGACUAAGAAUCAGUCGUUCUAAUUUCUAUGAUGAAAAGACACCUUGUGGACAUGUUGGUUACAAUACUGAGAGAGGAAAGAAAGGAAGUUGUGCUCUCUGCUCUUGGUGCAUAACAAUCUAAGAAUGUCCCCGGGUCAGGGCUUUUAUCUAAUGCUACACUACAAGCUGCUCAAGGGUACGCUCAUGUGACGUUUGAAACUCGUUUGUUGGAUUAGAGAUGGUGGUAGUGGAUGGAGAAGCAAGAGGAAGAAGAAGAACAUGAAUAAUAUGAGUGCAUAGUUAAGUGUUUGAAUUCAAAGUUUACACAGGUGGGGGUGGAAAGAGGGACUCCGAGUUUGAUGUGUCAUUGUCAGAACGAUGUAAUGGUAAAGUAUGUAUACAACGAUGCAUAUGUGCAUGAAGCUUGGAAAAAUUAUAUAUUAGACACGAUUGAUGGGUGGUAGACAGAGUGAGGGGAGAGAGAGAGAGAUGCAUUUGUAUUUAUGGGUGCAAUAAAAAACGAACUAAAAAGCCCGUGGCAACGCCGCGACGAGGGAAUCUUUUAGUUACAUUACAUCGUUGGCCUUCUUCCUGUGACAGAGAAAGUUAUGGACACGGUAGAGGCUGCCGAGAGGAGUUCCCUUGCUGCAACCUCCAAUGGUAUUUCCGGUGCAGUGUCCAAGAGGUUAGUGGACAUUGUCCCUUUCUUUCGUAUUCAGUGAUGGAUGAAAAGUCAGAAAUGACAAUUCUGCUGUAUUAUUCAAUUCGAACUAAUGUUUAGUACUUAUAUUGCCGAUAGAAAUAAUUUUAUCCGCUUGAUUUAGGAAGUGCACAUAGGUAGGUCAACAUAUUUUAUAGCUCUUUCACAUGUAAAAGCAUAUGUUGCAUAAGAAAUUAUUAUCUUCGAAGCAUACUCAGAUUUCACUAACAAAUAGGGGGAGGUUCAGACUUCAGAGCAAUGAUAACAAGGUUUGUUCCUCACUCUUUUGUUGGAAUUUUAGUUCCAAGUUAACAUGAUUUCUUAUCCGCUUCAUAAGUCAUGCAUUUGCUUAAUUAGGUGAUAAGUAGAGCAAAAAACAAAUUGAUCAUGUUAUUGUGGGGUUUGUUUAAACUCCAGCAUAAGGAAUUCUGGUUUAAGAAAAAAGACUUUUGGCUUCUUUAAUUACAAAUUGAUUGCAACAUCGUGUUAGUAUGUGAUUUCUCACAUGUGGUUAUAAUAUUUGUGAAGACGUGCAUUGCACGUGCACUUGGAAGCGGGCCCGUGGCCCGCGCCGGACGGGCCACAAAUCAUUGGUAGUGCAUGUCGUGUUUAUCCUCACUGUUGAAUAUUCUGUAUAUAACUAUUUAUGCAAUACUUGGACCAUAGGAACAAUUCAUUCUGUAUAUUUUGCUGGGGUUUGUGCCUUCCAGUCAAUUUAUAGAUGGGUAAGAUGUAUCACAAUAUCUUUGACUUGCAUUCUCUAUGAUGUCAAGUAAGAAAAUAGAAUAUAUACUCCUUGAAUUAUCUUUUCUUUUUUUCGAUGUCUCUAUCUUACUUAUAUAAUCCAAUUGGCAUUCGCUAGAGUUUCUGUUGAUGAAACAUUUGUUUUGUGAUGUCAGGAGUUCUGUUUGUGACUUUGCAAUCAAUAUUCGUUGAUACGGUUCGUAGAUCAUGAUAUCUGCACAAUCUCAAUCUACUUCCUGUGACUAUAUAUUGUAUUAACGGGUUGUGUCAGGGUUAUUUUAUCAACUACUCGAUUGUUGAUCUACAUUAUGGUUUAUUUCUUACACGAAUUAAUGUUGACUCGAUUCCCUGUAGUAGGUUGAGAGGCUUCUCCUCUCAUGAUUUUCUCUGAUUAGUUUGCUUGGCUGCAUGCUACUCAUGAUUUCUUUGAAUUUUUCUGUAGGAGCUCGAUCAAAAAUCACCUAUGAAAAAUAUGCCGUUCUUCUCUACAGGGGUUGAAUGUGGAAUUUGAGGAGAAUAUGUGCACCAGCAUCCGACUCCUUGAUGUUGCUCUGAUCAUAUUGUGUAAAUAUAUUUCUAAUAAAGCAAUCGCCCGAUGGUGUACAUGUUAGAAAUAACAAGAUGUAAUCAUCAAGUGUGAGAGAUGGCAACAUCAUGAUGGAUGGUAUGUACUGUUGUGCUCAUUAAUAGGUUCGUCUUUCAUUCUCUUGCAGCCAGCAUGUUUUUUGUUAUGCAAACAAUUAGGAAAUAUCUAAUUUCUAUGUACGUCCAAAUAUACAUAAGUAGUUGUUGUUAGCACUGAAUUUGGAUUUGUUAACGGUCGCUGCAUUUGGUCUAUCUCGAGCCUCUGGCUGUGGAUCAUGUUCUUUUGAUAUCCGCUUGCCAUGAUAUGUUAUCUCUGGUAUGUGUUACCUCUAUUUUUUUUGUCUGGACUAAUUAGGGCCUGCUUCUGUUUGCUCUAAUUGAUAUAAUUGUUGUGGCAUGCAGCGGCCAAGCCAACAACAGAGCCAGGCUUAGGCCUGAUGACGACUUGACAAAUAUGAUCAAGAUGCUGAAGAUGAGGAAUCUGACGAAACUGAAGAAAUAGGGGGUACUCUUAGCUUUAGUUCCAAAUAUCAUUUUUUGAUAUUCAUUGCUAUGUAUCUGUAUAAACUUGUUUCGGCCAUUAUUGACAAUUGGUCAGCAAAAGAAUUGCAUAUCUCUAGCCAUCCAGAAUAAGCGGAUAAGAUGAUGUGCAUUCAUUUGGUGGCACAAAAUCAAUUUUCUUUGCCAACUAAUAGUACAUACAUUAAGAAAAUUACUACAGUUGGCAGCUCUUCACUGCAUGUUUUGAAAUGUUUCAUGUGCUUGUCCUACCAAGUCACUUACAGAAGCAGGUACAACAUGCUAAGUAAGCAUCCAAUUAUUUACCCUAUUUUUUGUAUCAAUCCGAGAAAAGACGAGAACGAUGGCUGGAAGGCAGGGCGUUGUUGGAUGGAAGGAAGAGUGAGAGAGAUAGGAGGUGCAUGAGGUGACAAGUUCAAUGGGGUUGCCAAGGAGGUUUGAGGGAAACAGGCCGCCAUUGAGAUUUUUAUAUCCGCUGGCAUGCACGCUUGCUUGCUGAUAUGCGCGUCUGGCUGUUGUUGUUGCGCAUGUGUGUGUGGUAUGCCCCUGCCACUGUGUAUCGCUGCGAUGUUGUGUGCUUGCUGCUGCUGAUCAGCGUGUGUGUGCGGUUGUGCGGUUGCUGCCACGUUUUCUGGUAAAACCGCCAUGCACUUCUUUUUCUUGUGCUGAACAAUUCAUGAUCACUAUACCACUGAACUAUUUCUUGAACAGAAGCCAUGUGAACUAAGUUUGAGCUCUUAUGUUGUUAAAUGAAGCAUGAUUUUUAGUAAGCUGAACAAUAGUUCUGAUUUCCUCACUUAACAGGAAAUUUUUAGUUCUAUUUGUAUUGUUCUAAUCAGUUGUUUUUACACUACUAUGUAACCAGCACUCUUAUAUAUCAAGUGAUUAUAGCAUCUUGAUUAUUUCUGUAUUGACUUUCCUUUCUCAGAUUACUGAUCCAUGGUCUUCCUGUAGAUUUCAAUGCUGACUUGAAUCCUGUUAGGAGUUGAUCAAGAUAAUCCGCUGUGUUGUGAAGCAAUCACUAAUUAAUUUGAGAGAGAACAGUGUGGAAUCAGAAGUAACGAGAUGUGACCAUUAAGUUUGACAGAUGGCAAGAGAAUUUGAUAUGUAGUCCUCUAUAUGCACCAAUAGUGCAUUCACUUUUCACGCUUCUAUGGUUGGUUCAUAUGUGGUUAUCGAAGCAAGAUAAGUUCUUGAGAAGGACUCUAAUUGCUAUGGACCACAAGACUUCAGAUGUUGCUCCCUAUUGCGUAUUGCCGUUUACAUUGGACUUUCUAUCCAGUAAGAAGGACACUGGGAUCAUUGUUCAUCUAGAGAAGUCAGUGCCAAAUCUACGUCAGGACAUUGGGAUGUUAAUGAUUGGAGAUGGAUUGACAAGUACCAAAGAUUGAUGCCAAGCAGAACUAAAACAUGUGCAUGGAUUACCUUCAGUCCCGCAUUCCAAUCAACAACAUUGGGCCGAGCGAGCGCGCGGGUGGCGCAAGAGGCAAUGGGCAGCCGAUGGCGAUUGAGUGGUAAGCGGCGGUGGCGAGGUCGAGCGGUUGGCACAAAUGGCAAGUAGGCAAUUACCGUGACGGGCGAGCGGACGAGGCGAGUAUGCGUCACGAUUGCAUCACAAUUAGAAUAAAGCAGACAAUGCAUACGUGUGGCCUUGUGUUAACAGCCAGCCAAAUCAAUCAGACAAGGACCAUUAUGUACGUGAGUGUGUUAGCAGUGGGUAUAUCCGAAGAUUAUUUCUCAACUCGGCAUGUGGGUAGAGACUAAAAAGACGAUGCCAUGGUAGCAUGGCAGACCUGGCAAGUGCCACGAACAUGAUGAUAUUAUUCCUUUUCUUAAUUCCUUGAGUUA
Long non-coding RNA from Triticum aestivum (bread wheat), 6008 nucleotides. RefSeq lists it as uncharacterized. The transcript has 4 exons. The record is from RefSeq and is a predicted model, not a curated record. Lineage: Eukaryota; Viridiplantae; Streptophyta; Magnoliopsida; Poales; Poaceae.